UACAGAGGUCCCAAGCGUUGUUCGGAUUCAUUGGGCGUAAAGGGUGCGUAGGCGGCGCGGUAAGUCGGGUGUGAAAUCUCGGGGCUUAACUCCGAAACUGCAUUCGAUACUGCCGUGCUUGAGGACUGGAGAGGAGACUGGAAUUUACGGUGUAGCGGUGAAAUGCGUAGAUAUCGUAAGGAAGACCAGUGGCGAAGGUGGGUCUCUGGACAGUUCCUGACGCUGAGGAGCGAAAGCCAGGGGAGCAAACGGG
Molecule: ribosomal RNA, 253 nt
Filed under: uncultured bacterium
Lineage: Bacteria
Description: partial 16S ribosomal RNA
Rfam family: Bacterial small subunit ribosomal RNA
Source: RNAcentral